Molecule: ribosomal RNA, 720 nt
Filed under: uncultured Burkholderia sp.
Lineage: Bacteria; Pseudomonadati; Pseudomonadota; Betaproteobacteria; Burkholderiales; Burkholderiaceae
Description: bacterial SSU rRNA
Rfam family: Bacterial small subunit ribosomal RNA
Source: RNAcentral
GUUUGAUCCUGGCUCAGAUUGAACGCUGGCGGCAUGCCUUACACAUGCAAGUCGAACGGCAGCACGGGUGCUUGCACCUGGGGGCGAGUGGCGAACGGGUGAGUAAUACAUCGGAACAUGUCCUGUAGUGGGGGAUAGCCCGGCGAAAGCCGGAUUAAUACCGCAUACGAUCUACGGAUGAAAGCGGGGGACCUUCGGGCCUCGCGCUAUAGGGUUGGCCGAUGGCUGAUUAGCUAGUUGGUGGGGUAAAGGCCUACCAAGGCGACGAUCAGUAGCUGGUCUGAGAGGACGACCAGCCACACUGGGACUGAGACACGGCCCAGACUCCUACGGGAGGCAGCAGUGGGGAAUUUUGGACAAUGGGCGAAAGCCUGAUCCAGCAAUGCCGCGUGUGUGAAGAAGGCCUUCGGGUUGUAAAGCACUUUUGUCCGGAAAGAAAUCCUUGGUUCUAAUAUAGCCGGGGGAUGACGGUACCGGAAGAAUAAGCACCGGCUAACUACGUGCCAGCAGCCGCGGUAAUACGUAGGGUGCGAGCGUUAAUCGGAAUUACUGGGCGUAAAGCGUGCGCAGGCGGUUUACUAAGACCGAUGUGAAAUCCCCGGGCUCAACCUGGGAACUGCAUUGGUGACUGGCAGGCUAGAGUAUGGCAGAGGGGGGUAGAAUUCCACGUGUAGCAGUGAAAUGCGUAGAGAUGUGGAGGAAUACCGAUGGCGAAGGCAG